This is a long non-coding RNA of Nicotiana tabacum (common tobacco), 974 nucleotides long. RefSeq lists it as uncharacterized. Lineage: Eukaryota; Viridiplantae; Streptophyta; Magnoliopsida; Solanales; Solanaceae. The record is from RefSeq and is a predicted model, not a curated record.
GGAGAGAUCAAAUGUUUUUUCCAAAAAAAAGAAGAGACAGCAGCGGCGCACAUAGAGUAAAAAGGAAAAUGAGAGCUCUUCUCUAAUCAGACCCCUGUAAAAAAAACAACACCCUUUAGCUCCAUUAUUCUUCUUUUUGAUUUCCCAAAAAUCACGCAAAAAAAGAACCCAACAGUUCUUUAAUAAUGAGAACCCAGUAGCUCUCAAAUUUCUCCAUUUUUUACUGUCUGUUGAAAAGAGUUGUAUGGUUAUAAGGAUAGUAGCCAUUUUUAGCUUCAUCCUAAGAGAAAUAGAAACAGCCACCUAUCUCUAACCUCACUCAAAAAUAAAAAAAAAUUCAAAAAAAAAAGAAGUCGAUCAAAAAUAUAUAUAUAAUCAGAAGCACGCUUGAAGAUUUUGAAAAGGUAGAUUCGAAACUAAAAAAAAGGUUUAGCUGGGUUGGAAACACUCUGUUUUUGCUGCUGCUUCGGAACCCCAUCAAUGGUAUUGUGGCAUGUGUUUGGUCCAUGCCCGUUGAUUCUCUGCGAUUAGACUUACAACAGCCAUGAUAAAGUUGUGUACCUGGUAGAGGAACAGAAACGGAGUAGAAAAGAAGUCAGCAGCAGUAGCAGUAGCACAACAACAUAUUCAUCAACACAACAACACAGCCACAAACACCCAGUGACAGAUUUUUAAAACCAAACAGAAACCCAGGACGUUCAAUGAAACAGCAACAGGUCACUCAAGUGCAGGCCAACAAAACCAGUUUGGAAAAACAACCAGCAAUAUCAAAUAAUGAACAGACCAGUGAAGCUGUAACAAUGCUGUAUUCAACAACAAAGCAAAGACCUCUCUUUUCAGUUUCUAUCUCUCAAUCUACUGAAAAUAACUGUAAGAAAAGCAGCCUAGAACAACAGAUCUCUAACUCUGGACAUUUUCGAUUCAAAAUCCAGCCUAUCUCACACUCAAUAUACUCUGACUUUCAAGAUUUAAAA